GACAGCAUCAGGUCGGAGUCCGUC
This 24-nucleotide non-coding RNA is filed under the name Rattus norvegicus (Norway rat). Lineage: Eukaryota; Metazoa; Chordata; Mammalia; Rodentia; Muridae. The record is from RNAcentral.